GGGUUUCACAUGAGGUUCUGCCGCAACCAAAUCCCAAAAUCUUCUAUACGGAAAAUAGAAGAAAACGUUGAAAAGAAAACAGAAGGAACGAAAGAAGAAAAAUAUCGAAAACAAAGAAGAGACGGAAACAAAGAGGAAAAAAUGUUGAGAAAACAAGAAGAGAAAACAUUGAAAGUAUAAUUGGUAUACCUUAAAGGUAAGUAAUUUACUUUUCCCUUUCAAAAUCUUGAAAUUCUACGAUUUGAUUUUAUAUACAAACAAAGACAACAAAGUUUGAUUAUAACUCUAAUGGAGUUCGUAAGAAAUUACACUCACAUGANNN
This 322-nucleotide long non-coding RNA is filed under the name Nicotiana benthamiana. Its description in RNAcentral is "long non-coding RNA (NBEN_LNC030623)". The record is from RNAcentral. Lineage: Eukaryota; Viridiplantae; Streptophyta; Magnoliopsida; Solanales; Solanaceae.